CGUUUUUCUUAGAGUAGCAUCAGUGAUCAGCCAGAGGCGUGACUUGAAGCACAGUUGAGCUGUAAAUGGGCUAAAAGAAUUAACAAGUUGAAAACUUAAAAAGAUCGAACAUAGCCUUUUGAGUAAUGGAAAAUGAAUGGAGUGAAAUUUCUUCUAGAUUUGUAAAUGUGAUAGCCCAUUCGCAUAUAGUCCAUAUAAAGCCAACAGCCUCUAUGGAUCCCUUUUUUUUUCCUGACC
Molecule: long non-coding RNA, 237 nt
Filed under: Elaeis guineensis (African oil palm)
Lineage: Eukaryota; Viridiplantae; Streptophyta; Magnoliopsida; Arecales; Arecaceae
Description: long non-coding RNA (EGUI_LNC019254)
Source: RNAcentral